Acanthochromis polyacanthus (spiny chromis) is the source of this 236-nucleotide long non-coding RNA. RefSeq lists it as uncharacterized. Lineage: Eukaryota; Metazoa; Chordata; Actinopteri; Pomacentridae. The transcript has 3 exons. The record is from RefSeq and is a predicted model, not a curated record.
CUGCAAGUCUGAUCGUCAUAGCCUUUCUAAUUUAUUUCAUCAAGACAAAAACUUGUGAUUUCUGCAACGAUGCUGCAGCAGCCAGUGGUCAUCAGGAAAGACCACAGACAACUGAGGACUCGUUGGUUUAUUCUGCACCGACCUUCAACAAGAACAAAGCUGAGAGAAGAAAUGCAAAAACAGCAGAAGAGGAGACGAUCUACACCGAUGUCAACACUUCUGCAAGAAAUCAACAA